AGCUCGAUGAGUAGGGCGGGACACGUGGUAUCCUGUCUGAAUAUGGGGGGACCAUCCUCCAAGGCUAAAUACUCCUGACUGACCGAUAGUGAACCAGUACCGUGAGGGAAAGGCGAAAAGAACCCCGGCGAGGGGAGUGAAAAAGAACCUGAAACCGUGUACGUACAAGCAGUGGGAGCACGCUUAGGCGUGUGACUGCGUACCUUUUGUAUAAUGGGUCAGCGACUUAUAUUCUGUAGCAAGGUUAACCGAAUAGGGGAGCCGAAGGGAAACCGAGUCUUAACUGGGCGUUAAGUUGCAGGGUAUAGACCCGAAACCCGGUGAUCUAGCCAUGGGCAGGUUGAAGGUUGGGUAACACUAACUGGAGGACCGAACCGACUAAUGUUGAAAAAUUAGCGGAUGACUUGUGGCUGGGGGUGAAAGGCCAAUCAAACCGGGAGAUAGCUGGUUCUCCCCGAAAGCUAUUUAGGUAGCGCCUCGUGAAUUCAUCUCCGGGGGUAGAGCACUGUUUCGGCAAGGGGGUCAUCCCGACUUACCAACCCGAUGCAAACUGCGAAUACCGGAGAAUGUUAUCACGGGAGACACACGGCGGGUGCUAACGUCCGUCGUGAAGAGGGAAACAACCCAGACCGCCAGCUAAGGUCCCAAAGUCAUGGUUAAGUGGGAAACGAUGUGGGAAGGCCCAGACAGCCAGGAUGUUGGCUUAGAAGCAGCCAUCAUUUAAAGAAAGCGUAAUAGCUCACUGGUCGAGUCGGCCUGCGCGGAAGAUGUAACGGGGCUAAACCAUGCACCGAAGCUGCGGCAGCGAC
This 809-nucleotide ribosomal RNA is filed under the name Escherichia coli. RNAcentral describes it as "partial 23S ribosomal RNA". It matches the Rfam family "Bacterial large subunit ribosomal RNA", at positions 402 to 1212 of the family's 2925-position model. Lineage: Bacteria; Pseudomonadati; Pseudomonadota; Gammaproteobacteria; Enterobacterales; Enterobacteriaceae. The record is from RNAcentral.